AAGUCGACGGUAAGGCCCCUUCCGGGGGUACACGAGUGGCGACCGGGUGGAGUAACGCGUGGGUACCCUACCCAGAGGUGGGGGAUAGCUCCCGGGAAACCCGGAGGUAAUACCCGCAUAAGGUCCAGACAACGCGAGUUGACUGGAGGAAAGGCGGGGAUCUUCGGACCCCGUCGCUUCUGGAUGGGCCCGCGUCCGAUUAGCUUGUUGGUGAGGUAAUGGCUCACCAAGGCUUCGAUCGGUAGCCGGCUUGAGAGGGUGAUCGGCCACAUUUGGGACUGAGACACGGCCCAGACUCUCUACGGGAGGCAGCAGUGGGGGAAUUUUGGGCAAUGGGGGAAACCCUGACCCAGCGACGCCGCGUGGGGGAUGACGGUCUUCGGAUUGUAAACCCCUGUCAGGUGGGAAGAAGAGCUUGUCGGUUAAUACCCGGCAGGAAUUGACGGUACCACCAAAGGAAGCCCCGGCUAACUCCGUGCCAGCAGCCGCGGUAAUACGGAGGGGGCAAGCGUUAUUCGGAUUUACUGGGCGUAAAGCGCACGUAGGCGGCAAAAUAAGUCAAAGGUGAAAGCCCUCGGCUCAACCGAGGAACUGCCUUUGAAACUGUUUUGCUUGAGUCCGGGAGGGGGGAGCGGAAUUCCCAGUGUAGCGGUGAAAUGCGUAGAUACUGGGAGGAACACCGGUGGCGAAGGCGGCUCCCUGGACCGGUACUGACGCUGAGGUGCGAAAGCGUGGGUAGCAAACAGGAUUAGAUACCCUGGUAGUCC
RNAcentral lists this ribosomal RNA (767 nucleotides) under uncultured Acidobacteriota bacterium. RNAcentral describes it as "bacterial SSU rRNA". It matches the Rfam family "Bacterial small subunit ribosomal RNA", at positions 59 to 796 of the family's 1533-position model. The record is from RNAcentral. Lineage: Bacteria; Pseudomonadati; Acidobacteriota.